This 25-nucleotide transfer RNA is filed under the name Brookesia brygooi. RNAcentral's name for it is "partial tRNA-Trp". The record is from RNAcentral. Lineage: Eukaryota; Metazoa; Chordata; Lepidosauria; Squamata; Chamaeleonidae.
AGGAACUUAGGAUAUAUUAAACCAG